Molecule: non-coding RNA, 86 nt
Organism: Mycena galericulata
Lineage: Eukaryota; Fungi; Basidiomycota; Agaricomycetes; Agaricales; Mycenaceae
Source: the annotation of a GenBank genome assembly
GCCUUCUUGGUGAAGCGGUUACGCCGCCGGCACUAGUAUGACAAGUUCCUAUAAGGAGGUCCAGGGUUCGAUUCCCUGGGGAGGCA